Molecule: long non-coding RNA, 216 nt
Filed under: Homo sapiens (human)
Lineage: Eukaryota; Metazoa; Chordata; Mammalia; Primates; Hominidae
Description: non-protein coding lnc-CHD2-16:1
Source: RNAcentral
AGAGGCACAUUUUUGGGCCAGUAACAAUUUUAAAAAUCUAGUCUAUUUACCCAACUUGAGGCUGUUAUUUUUAGAGAUGAGACACUAGACACUGAAAGUUUUUUUUAUACCCAGACAAAUGGAUUCUAAAAUUUGAAUAGAAGAGCAAAGAAAAUAGGAACCAAUUUGAAGGACUACAAGGUGGACUGCUUGCUCAGCUCAGUAUCAACACUUAUG